This 460-nucleotide ribosomal RNA is filed under the name uncultured bacterium. RNAcentral describes it as "partial 16S ribosomal RNA". It matches the Rfam family "Bacterial small subunit ribosomal RNA", at positions 338 to 795 of the family's 1533-position model. The record is from RNAcentral.
CCUACGGGAGGCAGCAGUGAGGAAUAUUGGUCAAUGGGCGGAAGCCUGAACCAGCCAAGUAGCGUGCAGGAUGACGGCCCUACGGGUUGUAAACUGCUUUUAUACGGGAAUAACGUGCCUUACGUGUAGGGCUUUGCAUGUACUGUAUGAAUAAGGACCGGCUAAUUCCGUGCCAGCAGCCGCGGUAAUACGGAAGGUCCGGGCGUUAUCCGGAUUUAUUGGGUUUAAAGGGAGCGUAGAUCGCAUGUCAAGCGUGCUGUGAAAUGUCCGGGCUCAACCCUAGCCUUGCAGCGCGUACUGGCAUGCUUGAGUCCGCUGAAAGCAGGCGGAAUUCGUCGUGUAGCGGUGAAAUGCUUAGAUAUGACGAAGAACCCCGAUUGCGAAGGCAGCUUGCUACAGCGGAACUGACGCUGAUGCUCGAAAGCGCGGGUAUCGAACAGGAUUAGAUACCCCAGUAGUC